RNAcentral lists this ribosomal RNA (440 nucleotides) under uncultured bacterium. Its description in RNAcentral is "partial 16S ribosomal RNA". It matches the Rfam family "Bacterial small subunit ribosomal RNA", at positions 338 to 795 of the family's 1533-position model. The record is from RNAcentral.
CCUACGGGGGGCAGCAGUGGGGGAUAUUGCACAAUGGGGGAAACCCUGAUGCAGCGACGCCGCGUGUGGGAAGACGGUCUUCUGGAUUGUAAACCACUGUCCCCAGGGACGAAAAUGACGGUACCUGGGGAGGAAGCUCCGGCUAACUACGUGCCAGCAGCCGCGGUAAUACGUAGGGAGCAAGCGUUGUCCGGAAUUACUGGGUGUAAAGGGAGCGUAGGCGGGGAAGAAAGUUGGGUGUAAAAACUAUCGGCUAAACCGGUAGUCGCACUCAAAACUGUAGGUCUUGAGUGAAGUAGGGGAAGGCGGAAUUCAUAGUGUAGCGAUGAAAUGCGUAGAUAUCAUGCGGAAGACCAGUGGCGAAGGCAGCCUGCCGGGCUUUUACUGACGCUGAGGCUCGAAAGUGUGGGGAGCAAACAGGAUUAGAUACCCCUGUAGUC